AUGAACGCUGGCGGCGUGCCUCAUACCUGCAAGUCGCGCGAACAGACGAGGAGCUUGCUCCUCUGACGUUAGCGGCGGACGGGUGAGUAACACGUGGAUAACCUACCUAUAAGACUGGGGUAACUUCGGGAAACCGGAGCUAAUACCGGAUAAUAUAUUGAACCGCAUGGUUCAAUAGUGAAAGACGGUUUUGCUGUCACUUAUAGAUGGAUCCGCGCCGCAUUAGCUAGUUGGUAAGGUAACGGCUUACCAAGGCAACGAUGCGUAGCCGACCUGAGAGGGUGAUCGGCCACACUGGAACUGAGACACGGUCCAGACUCCUACGGGAGGCAGCAGUAGGGAAUCUUCCGCAAUGGGCGAAAGCCUGACGGAGCAACGCCGCGUGAGUGAUGAAGGUCUUCGGAUCGUAAAACUCUGUUAUUAGGGAAGAACAAAUGUGUAAGUAACUAUGCACGUCUUGACGGUACCUAAUCAGAAAGCCACGGCUAACUACGU
This 495-nucleotide ribosomal RNA is filed under the name uncultured bacterium. RNAcentral's name for it is "partial 16S ribosomal RNA". It matches the Rfam family "Bacterial small subunit ribosomal RNA", at positions 29 to 506 of the family's 1533-position model. The record is from RNAcentral.